UGGGCUUGACAUGUAGGUGUCCCGAAGGAAAGCCAUGUUUCCAUGGCGGUCACCUACAUGUCAAGCCCAGGUAAGGUUCUUCGCGUUGCGUCGAAUUAAACCACAUGCUCCGCUGCUUGUGCGGGCCCCCGUCAAUUCCUUUGAGUUUUAGCCUUGCGGCCGUACUCCCCAGGCGGGGCACUUAUUGCGUUAGCGACGGCACGGGAGGAGUCGACACCUCCCACACCUAGUGCCCAUCGUUUACGGCGUGGACUAC
This 256-nucleotide unclassified non-coding RNA is filed under the name uncultured Solirubrobacterales bacterium. RNAcentral's name for it is "contains 16S-23S intergenic spacer region". Lineage: Bacteria; Bacillati; Actinomycetota; Thermoleophilia; Solirubrobacterales. The record is from RNAcentral.